Molecule: ribosomal RNA, 253 nt
Filed under: uncultured bacterium
Lineage: Bacteria
Description: partial 16S ribosomal RNA
Rfam family: Bacterial small subunit ribosomal RNA
Source: RNAcentral
UACGUAGGGGGCGAGCGUUGUCCGGAUUUAUUGGGCGUAAAGAGCGUGUAGGCGGCCAGGUAGGUCUGCUGUGAAAACUCGAGGCUCAACCUCGAGACGUCGGCGGAAACCAUCUGGCUAGAGUCCGGGAGAGGUGAGUGGAACUGCGAGUGUAGAGGUGAAAUUCGUAGAUAUUCGCAAGAACACCAGUGGCGAAGGCGGCUCACUGGCCCGGUACUGACGCUGAGGUGCGAAAGCGUGGGGAGCAAACAGG